This 501-nucleotide ribosomal RNA is filed under the name uncultured bacterium. RNAcentral describes it as "partial 16S ribosomal RNA". It matches the Rfam family "Bacterial small subunit ribosomal RNA", at positions 29 to 523 of the family's 1533-position model. The record is from RNAcentral.
AUUGAACGCUGGCGGCAUGCCUUACACAUGCAAGUCGAACGGCAGCACGGGUGCUUGCACCUGGUGGCGAGUGGCGAACGGGUGAGUAAUACAUCGGAACGUACCUUAUCGUGGGGGAUAACGCAGCGAAAGCUGUGCUAAUACCGCAUACGCCCUGAGGGGGAAAGCGGGGGAUCGAAAGACCUCGCGCGAUUAGAGCGGCCGAUGCCUGAUUAGCUUGUUGGUGGGGUAAAAGCCCACCAAGGCGACGAUCAGUAGCUGGUCUGAGAGGACGAUCAGCCAGACUGGGACUUGGACACGGCCCAGACUCCUACGGGAGGCAGCAGUGGGGAAUUUUGGACAAUGGGGGCAACCCUGAUCCAGCAAUGCCGCGUGAGUGAAGAAGGCCUUCGGGUUGUAAAGCUCUUUUGUCAGGGAAGAAACACCGGCUCUAACACAGUCCGGGAAUGACGGUACCUGAAGAAUAAGCACCGGCUAACUACGUGCCAGCCGCCGCCGCGG